CGGUAAUUCCAGCUCCAAUAGCGUAUAUUAAAGUUGUUGCCGUUAAAAAGCUCGUAGUCGAACUUCGGCCUUUGCCGCCCGGUCCGCCCUAUGGGCGUGUACUGGAGCGGUGGAGGCUUACCUCGUGGUGAACGGCCAUGCUCUUUACUGGGUGUGGUCGGGAACCAUGAUUUUUACUUUGAAAAAAUUAGAGUGUUCAAAGCAGGCUUACGCCCGAAUACAUUAGCAUGGAAUAAUAAAAUAGGACGUGCGGUUCUAUUUUGUUGGUUUCUAGAAUCGCCGUAAUGAUUAAUAGGGAUAGUUGGGGGCAUUCGUAUUCAAUUGCUAGAGGUGAAAUUCUUGGAUUUAUUGAAGACGAACUACUGCGAUAGCAUUUGCCAAGGAUGUUUUCAUUGAUCAAGAACGAAGGUUAGGGGAUCGAAAACGAUCAGAUAUCGUUGUAGUCUUAACAGUAAACGAUGCCGACUAGGGAUCGGACGAGGAUUUUUACUGACUCGUUCGGCACCUGAAGAGAAAUCUUUAAGUCUAGGUUCGGGGGGGAGUAUGGUCGCAAGGCUGAAACUUAAAGGAAUUGACGGAAGGGCACCACCAGGUGUGGAGCCUGCGGCUUAAUUUGACUCAACACGGGGAAACUCACCAGGUCCAGACACGACAAGGAUUGACAGAUUGAUAGCUCUUUCUUGAUUUCGUGGUUGGUGGUGCAUGGCCGUUCUUAGUUGGUGGAGUGAUUUGUCUGGUUAAUUCCGAUAACGAACGAGACCUUACCCUGCUAAAUAGCCCGGCCGACUUUGGUUGGUCGCUGGCUUCUUAGAGGGACUAUCAGCGUUUAGCUGAUGGAAGUUUGAGGCAAUAACAGGUCUGUGAUGCCCUUAGAUGUUCUGGGCCGCACGCGCGCUACACUGACCGAACCAGCGAGUUUAUCACCUUGGCCGGAAGGCCUGGGUAAUCUUGUGAAACUCGGUCGUGAUGGGGAUAGAGCAUUGCAAUUAUUGCUCUUCAACGAGGAAUACCUAGUAAUCGUGAGUCAUCAGCUCGCGUUGAAUUCGUCCCUGCCCUUUGUACACACCGCCCGUCGCUACUACCGAUUGAAUGGCUUAGUGAGGUCUCCGGAUUGGCUUCUGGGAGCCGGCAACGGCACCUAGUCGCUGAGAAGUUGAACGAACUUGGUCAUUUAGAGGAAGUAAAAGUCGUAACAAGGUAGCCG
This 1204-nucleotide ribosomal RNA is filed under the name uncultured eukaryote. RNAcentral describes it as "SSU rRNA". It matches the Rfam family "Eukaryotic small subunit ribosomal RNA", at positions 577 to 1805 of the family's 1831-position model. The record is from RNAcentral.